Molecule: ribosomal RNA, 301 nt
Filed under: uncultured bacterium
Lineage: Bacteria
Description: partial 16S ribosomal RNA
Rfam family: Bacterial small subunit ribosomal RNA
Source: RNAcentral
CAGCCGCCGCGGUAAUACGUAGGGCGCAAGCGUUAUCCGGAAUUAUUGGGCGUAAAGAGCUCGUAGGCGGUUUGUCGCGUCUGCCGUGAAAGUCCGGGGCUCAACCCCGGAUCUGCGGUGGGUACGGGCAGACUAGAGUGAUGUAGGGGAGACUGGAAUUACUGGUGUAGCGGUGAAAUGCGCAGAUAUCAGGAGGAACACCGAUGGCGAAGGCAGGUCUCUGGGCAUUAACUGACGCUGAGGAGCGAAAGCGUGGGGAGCGAACAGGAUUAGAUACCCCGGUAGUCCCUGUCUCUUAUAC